RNAcentral lists this ribosomal RNA (239 nucleotides) under uncultured bacterium. Its description in RNAcentral is "partial 16S ribosomal RNA". It matches the Rfam family "Bacterial small subunit ribosomal RNA", at positions 91 to 334 of the family's 1533-position model. The record is from RNAcentral.
ACGAGUGGCGGACGGGUGGGUAAUGUCUGGGAAACUGCCUGGUGGAGGGGGAUAACUACUGGAAACGGUAGCUAAUACCGCAUAACGUCGCAAGACCAAAGAGGGGACCUUCGGGCCUCUUGCCAUCGGAUGUGCCCAGAUGGGAUUAGCUAGUAGGUGGGGUAACGGCUCACCUAGGCGACGAUCCCUAGCUGGUCUGAGAGGAUGACCAGCCACACUGGAACUGAGACACGGUCCAG